Molecule: non-coding RNA, 81 nt
Organism: Aspergillus egyptiacus
Lineage: Eukaryota; Fungi; Ascomycota; Eurotiomycetes; Eurotiales; Aspergillaceae
Source: the annotation of a GenBank genome assembly
GGCAAGAUGGCCGAGCGGUUAAGGCGCUGCACUCGAAAUGCAGUCCCUUCGGGGACCUGAGUUCGAAUCUCAGUCUUGUCG